GGUUUCCACAAGCAAAGGUUUUGAAAACCUUUCAAGUAAUAUUUUUACAGAAACCU
RNAcentral lists this transfer RNA (56 nucleotides) under Eleutherocaulis alte. Its description in RNAcentral is "tRNA-Ser". Lineage: Eukaryota; Metazoa; Mollusca; Gastropoda; Systellommatophora; Veronicellidae. The record is from RNAcentral.